RNAcentral lists this ribosomal RNA (496 nucleotides) under uncultured bacterium. RNAcentral's name for it is "partial 16S ribosomal RNA". It matches the Rfam family "Bacterial small subunit ribosomal RNA", at positions 29 to 507 of the family's 1533-position model. The record is from RNAcentral.
AUGAACGCUGGCGGCGUGCCUAAUACAUGCAAGUCGAGCGAACAGACGAGGAGCUUGCUCCUCUGACGUUAGCGGAGGACGGGUGAGUAACACGUGGAUAACCUACCUAUAAGACUGGGAUAACUUCGGGAAACCGGAGCUAAUACCGGAUAAUAUAUUGAACCGCAUGGUUCAAUAGUGAAAGACGGUUUUGCUGUCACUUAUAGAUGGAUCCGCGCCGCAUUAGCUAGUUGGUAAGGUAACGGCUUACCAAGGCAACGAUGCGUAGCCGACCUGAGAGGGUGAUCGGCCACACUGGAACUGAGACACGGUCCAGACUCCUACGGGAGGCAGCAGUAGGGAAUCUUCCGCAAUGGGCGAAAGCCUGACGGAGCAACGCCGCGUGAGUGAUGAAGGUCUUCGGAUCGUAAAACUCUGUUAUUAGGGAAGAACAAAUGUGUAAGUAACUAUGCACGUCUUGACGGUACCUAAUCAGAAAGCCACGGCUAACUACGUG